RNAcentral lists this ribosomal RNA (875 nucleotides) under Pseudeurotium sp. RNAcentral's name for it is "partial large subunit ribosomal RNA". It matches the Rfam family "Eukaryotic large subunit ribosomal RNA", at positions 49 to 946 of the family's 3401-position model. Lineage: Eukaryota; Fungi; Ascomycota; Leotiomycetes; Thelebolales; Pseudeurotiaceae. The record is from RNAcentral.
AGCGGAGGAAAAGAAACCACAGGGAUUGCCUCAGUAACGGCGAGUGAAGCGGCAACAGCUCAAAUUUGAAAUCUGGCCUCACGGUCCGAGUUGUAAUUUGUAGAGGAUGCUUCGAGCAUGGUCUGGCCUAAGUUCCUUGGAACAGGACGUCAUAGAGGGUGAGAAUCCCGUAUGCGGCCAGGUGCCUACGCUCAUGUGAAGCUCCUUCGACGAGUCGAGUUGUUUGGGAAUGCAGCUCAAAAUGGGUGGUAAAUUUCAUCUAAAGCUAAAUAUUGGCCAGAGACCGAUAGCGCACAAGUAGAGUGAUCGAAAGAUGAAAAGCACUUUGGAAAGAGAGUUAAACAGUACGUGAAAUUGUUGAAAGGGAAGCGCUUGCAACCAGACUUGCGUGCGGCCGAUCAUCCGGUGUUCUCACCGGUGCACUCGGUCGCGCUCAGGCCAGCAUCGGUUUUGGUGGUUGGAUAAAGGCCCUAGGAAUGUAGCUUCUCUCGGGGAGUGUUAUAGCCUAGGGUGCAAUGCAGCCCACCGGGACCGAGGACCGCGCUUCGGCUAGGAUGCUGGCGUAAUGGUUGUAAGCGACCCGUCUUGAAACACGGACCAAGGAGUCUAACAUCUAUGCGAGUGUUUGGGUGUCAAACCCAUACGCGUAAUGAAAGUGAACGGAGGUGAGAACCCUUAAGGGUGCAUCAUCGACCGAUCCUGAUGUCUUCGGAUGGAUUUGAGUAAGAGCAUAGCUGUUGGGACCCGAAAGAUGGUGAACUAUGCCUGAAUAGGGUGAAGCCAGAGGAAACUCUGGUGGAGGCUCGCAGCGGUUCUGACGUGCAAAUCGAUCGUCAAAUUUGGGCAUAGGGGCGAAAGACUAAUCGAACCAUCUA